CUUCUUCGAUCUGUUGCGGGCAGAUGAAAUGAAUAUGGGCAUCCAUACCACCAGCUGUGAGAAUUUUCCCUUCACCCGCAAUCGCCUCGGUCGAGGGGCCGACAAUGAUGGUUACACCUGACUGCGUAUCCGGGUUCCCAGCCUUGCCGAUGGCGUGUAUGCGGCCAUCCUUCAAACCGAUAUCGGCCUUGUAGACACCGCUAUGAUCGACAACGACGACAUUGGUAAUGACGGUGUCAACAGCACCUUCAGCGCGCGUGGCCUGGCUUUGCCCCAUGCCAUCACGAAUG
Molecule: small RNA, 290 nt
Filed under: Rhizobium skierniewicense
Lineage: Bacteria; Pseudomonadati; Pseudomonadota; Alphaproteobacteria; Hyphomicrobiales; Rhizobiaceae
Description: 5' ureB small RNA
Rfam family: 5' ureB small RNA
Source: RNAcentral